This 551-nucleotide long non-coding RNA is filed under the name Lathyrus oleraceus (garden pea). Its description in RNAcentral is "Pisum sativum (pea) long non-coding RNA (PSAT_LNC033937)". The record is from RNAcentral. Lineage: Eukaryota; Viridiplantae; Streptophyta; Magnoliopsida; Fabales; Fabaceae.
CUCUGUUAUGUGAGGUUGUGAAGAAUUCUCCUAUCAUUUCUGUGCAGAGUUAAGGUUUUUGUAGCAGUUGCUGGCUUGGUUAUCAAUUGGAGGUUAGAAAUGGUUGAGAUUGUUUCCAUUUUGGAUGUGGUUCAGUUAAGAGGUUUGUAAGUUGUUAGGAAAAAAUGAGUUAGAGAUUAUUGUUGGAACUCUGUUUUUGCAGGUUUUGUGUAAGGAGAACUCGUUUUUUGCUUUGUUAUUUGACAGGUUAAAAAUGGAGGUACAAUUAAAUUGUUAGUGAAAAUAACUUGAAUUUUCCGUUUCAUUUGCAGGUUGUGUAUCAUGGAUUGGAUGCUUGAACUGAAUGGAUAUGGAAUGCAUUGCUUGAAUUGGAUAUGGAUUUUUGUUGUAAAUUUUGUAUUGUUGUAAAUUGACAAUAAAUGUAUGCAUGGAUUUUUGAAUGAAUGAAAUGGUGUUAAUGUAUGUAUGUUUGGAAAUGAAUUGAACAUUUGGAAAUUGGAAUGAAUUCAUAGGAAAAUGUUGGUUUAAUGUAUUUGAAAUGUAUUAUGGUU